AGAGUUUGAUCCUGGCUCAGGACGAACGCUGGCGGUGCGCCUAAUGCAUGCAAGUCGAACGGUCCCGAUUCGCUUCGGCUUAUCGGGGAAGUGGCGGACGGCUGAGUAACACGUAAGUGACCUGCCCCGAAGAGGGGGAUAAUCUUGAGAAAUCGAGUCUAAUACCCCGUACGUUUCCCGGAUUACGGUCCGGGAAGGAAAGGUUUCCACCUAUGGUGGGUUCCGCUUUGGGAGGGGCUUGCGGCUUAUCAGGUAGUUGGUGGGGUAACGGCCUACCAAGCCAGAGACGGGUAGCCGAUGUGAGAGCAUGACCGGUCAGAGGGGGACUGAGACACGGCCCCCACUCCUACGGGAGGCAGCAGCAGGGAAUCUUGCGCAAUGGGCUAAAAGGCCUGACGCAGCGACACCGCGUGGGGGAAGAAGGCUUUCGGGUUGUAAACCCCUUUUCUUGGGGAAGAGUGAGGACGGUACCCGAGGAAUAAGCAUCGGCUAACUACGUGCCAGCAGCCGCGGUAAUACGUAGGAUGCGAGCGUUGUCCGGAUUUACUGGGCGUAAAGGGCGAGUAGGCGGCCCGUCAAGUCUCAUGUGAAAUCUCCCGGCUCAACUGGGAGGGGUCAUGGGAAACUGGCGAGCUUGAGGUCAGCAGAG
RNAcentral lists this ribosomal RNA (649 nucleotides) under uncultured bacterium. RNAcentral's name for it is "bacterial SSU rRNA". It matches the Rfam family "Bacterial small subunit ribosomal RNA", at positions 8 to 656 of the family's 1533-position model. The record is from RNAcentral.